CAACUGCUGAGGAGUUCCACAAUAGGACGAAACGGCCGUCCAGUGC
Schistosoma mansoni is the source of this 46-nucleotide non-coding RNA. NCBI's taxonomy places the organism in Eukaryota, Metazoa, Platyhelminthes, Trematoda, Strigeidida, Schistosomatidae. The record is from Rfam.